AGUGAACGCUGGCGGUAGGCCUAUCACAUGCAAGUCGAACGGCAGCACAGUAAGAGCUUGCUCUUACGGGUGGCGAGUGGCGGACGGGUGAGGAAUACAUCGGAAUCUACUUUUUCGUGGGGGAUAACGUAGGGAAACUUACGCUAAUACCGCAUACGACCUACGGGUGAAAGCAGGGGAUCUUCGGACCUUGCGCGAUUGAAUGAGCCGAUGUCGGAUUAGCUAGUUGGCGGGGUAAAGGCCCACCAAGGCGACGAUCCGUAGCUGGUCUGAGAGGAUGAUCAGCCACACUGGAACUGAGACACGGUCCAGACUCCUACGGGAGGCAGCAGUGGGGAAUAUUGGACAAUGGGCGCAAGCCUGAUCCAGCCAUACCGCGUGGGUGAAGAAGGCCUUCGGGUUGUAAAGCCCUUUUGUUGGGAAAGGAAAGCAGCAGGUUAAUACCCCGCUGUUCUGACGGUACCCAAAGAAUAAGCACCGGCUAACUUCGUG
RNAcentral lists this ribosomal RNA (492 nucleotides) under uncultured bacterium. RNAcentral describes it as "partial 16S ribosomal RNA". It matches the Rfam family "Bacterial small subunit ribosomal RNA", at positions 29 to 507 of the family's 1533-position model. The record is from RNAcentral.